AACAGAAAAAACCUCACCCCUAGAUAUCACUUUCAUUUAUUUUAAACAAACGAUCCAGAUUAAUAUAUCACAAAAUAUUUCAUUUAUGAUAUCUCAACUCACUUUAUUUACAUUUAACACACCAACACGCAACAUUCAAUAAAAAAGAUAGAACAAACAAUUCAAGCAAAAAAAAAAAAGUUUAAUCAAUUGAUGGAUAUUAACUCCGAUGAUGAUGACUCCGGCGCCUCCUCGAUCGGCUCCAAGUCAGGUUUCCACAAUGAUCCCUGUCGAAGAAGCCCCAUCGGAGUCGGAUUUUCAUCCCUGAACCUACACUGAUUCAUUCCAAUACCAUUGCUAAUACCACUAGCAGUCCCUACGACACGCGUUUCGAUCUCGGUUUUACUGUCGUAGGCGACGGCGGAGAGCUUUCUGGCAAGAACCACCUGAUCCAGCAGCGUGACGUCGUCGUCGAACACGGAUUUGGGGAGAAGGAAGUAAAAUCUGUUACUUUGAAGAUGUUCUUGGAGAUGAAGCGGUUUGAAACCCACAGAGUAUUGCGGGGCUAAUGAGCAUAAGACCAUCUUCGGAGGUGUGCCGGUCAAAUCACUUACCUUCACCGGUAGCGAUUCAGGAGUGAUUCUGUUAUCUGCACAGACGAAUUCCUCGACGUAUCCCGUCACAUCGACGACUCGUGCUCCGUUAAUUGCCGGAGGUUCUUCCGACGACCGUGAAUAGCCACAACCCAUGAUUGAAAGGAUAAAUAGCGGUGGAUUUCGAUUUAUACGGCUGAAAAUCCUUAAAAAAAAAAUUAAAAGCAGAAAAUCCUAAAAUUCAGUAAAAUCUAAUGUAGCUUAUUUAACAGGUUAAGGUUUGACUAAUUACUAAGUGAAUCUAGAAUAACAUGAUUAUGAUUAUUAAUUAAGUAGAUUGAAAUUUGAAAACGUUUAAUCAGAUUACGUUGUGGUCGGCUCAUCUGGUCCCUACACGUCAGAGUAUAUUAAUUUAUAGAUGUUUUUAUAAGUACAGUUAAUUAAUAGAUGUUAUUUUCUAGAAUAAUAGGUACAAUUAUGAUGUCAAAUAAAUCUCGAUUCGAUGGGCUUGGCUCGUUAAACUCGCGAACCCAACGAGCCGAACUCGAGUUUGAAGCUCAAGCUCGUUAAGCUUAACGAACCGAGCUCGAGUUUGGACAUUCCAAGCUCGAUAAGAGGAAUAUAAUAAUAAUAAAAUAAUAUAAUAUAUUUGGAGAAAACGAAGAUAUAACUUAGAUGGUAAAGUACUUGUUUGGUAUGAGAGAGGUUGCGAGUUUGAUAUUUUACUUUUCUAAAAUAUUUAUUUUAACCUGCAAUUUUAGGUUAUUAGAACUCGAGCCCGAGUCUUGGCAAAUCAUUAACGAGUCGAGUCUGACUCCGGAUAAAUCUUUAACUUAAUGUUAAAACUCGACUCGUUUGACAUCCUAGCUACCAUUUAUAUCAAAUUCUUUUAAUAAUAUAAGACGAUCUUCACUUAAUGUCCACGACGAACGGUUUAGAAAAUUGAAACAAAAAACUAAUUUUUGAAAACGAUGUAAAAUAAUUUUACUUUGAUUGAUUUAAAUGUAAAAAUUACACAAAGUAUUUAUAGUGUUUGAAAUAUUUUUUAUUACAUCAAGAAAUGUUUAUUAAUACAACUAAAUCCUUGAAAGCUUAUUUUAAUUUCCUUCCUAAACCUCGACGAUCGAUCCAUUAAAUCUUUAAUCUGUUAUAAAAACAUUGGUCGAUUAACAACAUAAUAAAUUACAUUAUCAGUUUACUUAAUAAUCUGUUUAAUUAGUAUUUAAGAGUUUGAUUUUAAAACAGUAUUUAACAAGUACUUAAUUAUAUCUAAUAAAUAACACAUCAAUAUCAAAUCGGAUGUCAAUUUUGAAAAAUAUUCGAAAUUACUAUUUCGAAAUUGUUUUUUGGUUUGGUAAAUUAUAUUAAAUUUUUGGGGUUCUUUUCUAAAAAAAUUAAAAAUUUGUGUACACGUAUUGAAGAUAUUACACGGAUGGAGGUGUCCCAUUUAAUUUAACCCAUAUAACAGUAGCAAAUCCAUACCUGUAGAAGAUGAACCGACACCUAGGGAGACGCCACCUCCAAUAGGAAUAAAGGUGGGUAUUUAUAAUAUAUGACCUACAUAUCCAAGAUCAGGGGUGACUUGGGUACGGACCAUAAACAAUUACAAGUCGUCGCAAUUAUCGAGAGAACAUGAUUAAUUCAGCAAAACAGCUGCAUCAACUUCAGUUCUAUGAAUGUUGAAAUUGAUAAAUUAAAAGUCAACUCUCCCAUCUGGGGAAUUCAUUGGACACUUCUAUCAGUAGCUUGUUGGAACAUAUGGAAGGAGCAUAAUACAAGAAAAGCUACUGACAUUCAUUUAAAUGAAGAUAUGAUUAUGAAGCAGAUCAUCCGUACUACAGAAUGAGAAUUCAAAGAACACCGUUACAAAAAAUCACAUAAAUACAAGAAUGAGACAAUGGUUUAUCAACACUAGAAUGUUUUUGCUAUGCAAAACAUGAAACCUAAAAGAAACGGAAGAAACCUCAGCUAAUCAAAGUGUGUUUUAAAUCCACUACAAUGUCUUAUAUUUGGCUUUAAACUUAUGCUUUUUAUUUUUGUAAAAUCUUUUUAAUUGAUUUUAAUAUAUGAUUAAGUACCUUAUCCAAAAAAAAAUGUGAGUAUUUAUUUUUUGUUUCAUCACAACAUAUACAUGUAGAUUUAAUAAACUAUGUCAUUUAAUCCAGGGGUAUUUAAUUCCCUUGGAUUAAAUGACCAACGAUCCAACGACAAGUCUAUAUAAACGUUUGUCGUUCACAUAAAACCCUAACCCACCUUGAGUAGUUCUGUCCUUACAUCUCCGACGCUUCCAAUCAUGGUUCGUCGCCGACACACCGGAGGGAUCAGUAUGCCCUGGGUUUCGAUGGUUGGAGGAAGUCGUCGUCCGCAGCCUCGACUUGACUGACUCCGACGACGAGUCGUCGUUGUAUGAACCCUAGCUCCUACCCCCGAUUCUGUUAUGGAGUUCGAGCCGAACUCGCUGUCCGAGUCUGCCAAUCGUCGAGGUCCUGCUCGUCGUCCGCCUCAACGUACGCCAAUGGAACCGAUAUACGUCCCCGACACUCCGAUCGUCCUUGCACAUGCGUGUCCCGACCAUCCGCUACUGCCGCCGCCAUCCGACGUCUUGGUGUACUGCAGUGCGGGUAUCUUUUCAUGGCGUACAUGUACACUGCUGUGUCUCACCUGUUCCCAGUUCCGGACGACAUACACCAACAACGCCAUCAACGAACCGGGCGAGGUGCUAAACUUCGACUUCAUCGACGACCUGGAGCUCGACUAGAAGGAGACUGACUCGACGGUGGGGGGGCGAAGGCGAUGUUUUUUUUCCAGAUUAAUAUGUUUGUUUAUGUCUUGUGUUUUUUUUUCCAACGAUGGUCGGAAAAAUGUAUUUUAGGUUUAUCAUUCUGGUAACCGUUUGCUUUGAAUGGAAUGAUAUUCUAUAUGUUUUUCAAUGGUAUUGUUAAGGUUUAAAAUUUCAUUUACAAAUGUUUUAGUUUAAAAAAAAAGUAAAAAAAAUAUAUUUUCAAUGCUUAAUAAAUACAAAUCUAAAAUUUUGAUUAGACAACUCCUAAAUUAGAAUUAAAUUUAAUUAAAAUAUAAACAUUAACGUACCCUUACCUUAUUAAAUACUAUUUACUUAUAUGUCUAAUUUUUUACCUAUUUGUUUAAUAAUUUCAUAGAAAUGAUAAUAAAUUAAAUAAAUUUUCAUUAUAUAAUACGAUAUUGAAGAGACCGAUACCCUUAAUGAUCUCUUUAAAAACCAUCUCAGGAGAUGUAAUAACGUGUUGUCUGUAUCUUUUAUUUUUUUUCUGUUUAUAUAUGUCAUGACAAACACAUAAUAACAUUCCAUAGUAACUUCCAAAUAAGAGAGUUAUAUGUGACUUUUUGCGCAGCCUUUGUAAGUUCUUUCAAUUUAAUAUGUAGAGUGAAAAUUGAAAUAUCCAUAAGAAGAAAUUCAGAUGUUCAACCAACAGAAUUAGAAGAGACCUGAAAUAAAAACAAUUGAAAAAAAAGAUAACUUUUAGAUUUAUCUUUCAGUUUGCAUAAGUAAGAUAGAUUCUUACACUUUUCAGCUUUUGAACAAAAAAUACAAAUAUAAAAAAUCUAAUUUUAAAAUAACGCAAUUAAAUUAAAUAAUUUAGUAUUAGAAAUAAAUACAAAUACUAACUAUCAUCUUUAUCUGAUUUUUAUAAUAUACCGUACACGUGUCACGUGGAGAAGGAUGGGAUGGAUAAAAAAUUGUACACGUGUCAAGAAAAUUAUUAAUUUCUUUAUUACAUAGUGAAAUUAUUUCGAUUAGUCAAAUUAACUAGAAGGGAAAUUAAUUUCUAACUCAUUUAAUUAAAAUCAAACACAGACACACAGUAACACACCAACACGCAACAUUCAAUAGAAUAGAACAAACAAUUCAAGCAAAAAAAAAAAGUUUAAUCAAUUGAUGGAUAUUAACUCCGAUGAUGAUGACUCCGGCGCCUCCUUGAUCGGCUCCAAGUCAGGUUUCCACAAUGAUCCCUGUCGAAGAAGCCCCAUCGGAGUCGGAUUUUCAUCCCUGAACCUACACUGAUUCAUUCCAAUACCAUUGCUAAUACCACUAGCAGUCCCUACGACACGCGUUUCGAUCUCGGUUUUACUGUCGUAGGCGACGGCGGAGAGCUUUCUGGCAAGAACCACCUGAUCCAGCAGCGUGACGUCGUCGUCGAACACGGAUUUGGGGAGAAGGAAGUAAAGUCUGUUACUUUGAAGAUGUUCUUGGAGAUGAAGCGGUUUGAAACCCACGGAGUAUUGCGGGGCCAAUAAGCAUAAGACCAUCUUCGGAGGUGUGCCGGUCAAAUCACUUACCUUCACCGGUAGCGAUUCAGGAGUGAUUCUGUUAUCUGCACAGACGAAUUCCUCGACGUAUCCCGUCACAUCGACGACUCGUGCUCCGUUAAUUGCCGGAGGUUCUUCCGACGACCGUGAAUAGCGACAACCCAUGAUUGAAAGUCGAGUUCUAGGAAAGUCGAUCUCUGAGAAAGUCGAUCUUCCCAGGAGUUAACUUGGGACCUUCCCAGGUGUCUCAGCUCAUUUUGGGCUAUCCGGACUUUUAUAU
RNAcentral lists this long non-coding RNA (5139 nucleotides) under Zostera marina. Its description in RNAcentral is "long non-coding RNA (ZMAR_LNC002260)". Lineage: Eukaryota; Viridiplantae; Streptophyta; Magnoliopsida; Alismatales; Zosteraceae. The record is from RNAcentral.